RNAcentral lists this unclassified non-coding RNA (902 nucleotides) under Hevea brasiliensis (rubber tree). The record is from RNAcentral. Lineage: Eukaryota; Viridiplantae; Streptophyta; Magnoliopsida; Malpighiales; Euphorbiaceae.
AUUUUUUCUCUCCCAAAUCUUCCUUGUUCUCUGCAAAAUCUCAGCAAAACUCAAUUUUGGGAGAUGGGUAUUUCAAGAAACUCAGGUGGGGUUGGAGGAGUAGUGGGUGGUGUUGAUAUGCUGAGUGAAAGAGCAAGAAUGAUGAGAGAUUCAUUGCAGAAGAGUCAGUCUAUUACAGACAAUGUUGUGAACAUUUUGGGUUCCUUUGAUCAUCGUCUUUCUGCUCUUGAAACUGCUAUGCGUCCUACUCAGAUAAGGACUCAUGCUAUUAGGACGGCUCAUGGAAACAUUGACAAGGCUUUAAAGGCUGCUGAGGUUAUACUGUCCCAAUUUGAUAUUUCUCGUCAGGCGGAAAUUAAAAUACUGAAAGGGCCACAUGAGGACCUGGAAAGUUAUCUUCAAGCAAUUGACCAGCUGAGAGACAAUAUUCGCUUCUUCAGCAACAACAAAAGCUUCAAGAGUAGUGAUGGAGUACUCAAUCAUGCUAAUAGUUUGCUGACCAAGGCUAUUUUAAAGCUUGAAGAGGAGUUUAAGCAGCUCUUGUUAUCUUAUAGUAAACCCAUUGAACCUGAUCGGCUGUUUGAGUGUCUCCCAAAUUCAAUGCGACCACCGUCAUCACCUGGACACCAGGACUCUAGUGGUAAGAGUCAUCUGUCCAAUAGUAAUGCGGAGCAAGAUGGUGCAGGAAAUGCUGUCUUCACACCGCCAACUCUUAUACCUCCAAGGAUCCUGCCUUUACUACAUGAUUUAGCCCAACAGAUGGUUCAAGCUGGCCAUCAACAACAAUUUAUAAAAAUAUACAGGGAUACACGUUCUCCCGUACUGGAAGAAAGUCUUCGCAGUUUGGGAGUGGAAAAACUUAGCAAAGAUGAUGUUCAGAAGAUGCAAUGGGAAGUUCUGGA